GCAUUUACCUGGCCAGGAGGAUACCAUGACCUCGAAGGUAGUUUCCCCAGGAUGAGGAUCACCCAUUGCACUACAGAUGUGUUUACCUCAUUUCCCCACAUUAAAAAAGAAAAAAAAAAUGAUAUUGCUGUGAGGAAGACACUAUAGAGGGGUAAUCCCUG
This 161-nucleotide small nuclear RNA is filed under the name Procavia capensis (Cape rock hyrax). RNAcentral describes it as "U1 spliceosomal RNA (ENSPCAG00000020390.1)". Lineage: Eukaryota; Metazoa; Chordata; Mammalia; Hyracoidea; Procaviidae. The record is from RNAcentral.